Molecule: long non-coding RNA, 1074 nt
Organism: Cyprinus carpio (common carp)
Lineage: Eukaryota; Metazoa; Chordata; Actinopteri; Cypriniformes; Cyprinidae
Source: Ensembl
AUGGGGCUUCGCGGACCGAGCAGCUCGGGGGUGUUCCUGACAGUCAGCCUUCUGUGGGUGACUGGAUGCUUCACCCAAAAAGUUUACUUUGAUUGUGGAGCCAAGGUGGAUGUUGUGGAUGUGCAGGGCCUCAUUCUGUCCCCUGGCUUCCCAUAUAACUAUUCAUCUGGAACUCACUGUGUGUGGCAGUUCUUUGUACCUGUUGGUCACCAGCUAAUCCUGGAGAUGUUUGAUUUUGAUGUCUUUGAGAGUCACGACAGUGCCGUUGUGGACGAGGUACCAAACGAUGGUGGCGCGCUGGUGUCGAAAAGCCUCGGAAGUCCAAAAGAACCCCAGUCCACACUCCGAGAGGACGUCAAGCAAGUGGUGAUCCAAGAACAGUCCACCAAAAUGGAGAUGACCAAAGUUUCCAAUUCUGCCAAAAUGCUUUCCGAUCCCCCCUCGGCUCCACAAGCAUCUCUUCCAGUUGAAAACAGAAAUUUUGUUUCAUCUCAGGCAUCAAGAGCAGCCACUGACUUUAUCAUUUCAAGCCCACGAACGGCCACAGAAACGGGUGACGCUGUGAGCCCUGAGACCCAGGCACCUUUGAUCGAUGCCUGUCCCAACGAUGUUCUCUACAUAUCAGAUCUCAUCACCUUCUCCUCCCGAUUCUGCGGCUCUAGACAGCCUUCUAGCAGCCAGUUAGUGUUUGGAUCUGAUGAUGACAUGGUUGAGGUCAUUAUGGAGUUGAUUACCACUACCCACUGGGGCCGUGGUUUCGCUCUCCUUUUCCAUUAUCAGAAUCAAACUCAGACCGCCACAAGCGAACAUCAGAGAUCACUAUUGACCUCCGACAGCAGAACUGGUGUUGUACUGCUCGGUGCUGUAAGUGGGACAGUUGUAUUUGCUGUGGCCCUUGCUGGCAUCCUCUGUGUGAUUUUCAGGCCGAAACUGUGCGCAAAAGGAGCCAAUGCUUCCUCUUCCAUCAGCUCAGAGGUUCCAGAAGGAGUGCUAAAUUCAGCGGCUGAUGUGAGUGAACUGCAGAUGGUUUCUCCCAAUCACUUGGAGCAGCAGCCGGGAGCAACAGGUGCGUAG